Molecule: RNA transcript, 7427 nt
Organism: Dreissena polymorpha
Lineage: Eukaryota; Metazoa; Mollusca; Bivalvia; Myida; Dreissenidae
Gene name: cyclic AMP-dependent transcription factor ATF-6 alpha-like
Exons: 18
Source: RefSeq, a predicted model, not a curated record
CACCGGCGAAACCAACUACUUCCUCCUUGGUGUAUUAUGGGAUAUUGUUUUUGUGAUUUUCCACGCUGAAACAUGACACUUUAUCGAUUGUAACCAAACGACAAAUAUAUUGGAGUUGCCGACAAGACAAGGAAACAUGGGGACGGAUUUUGUAUCCGAAGUUGACCGAAAAUUCUUCUCCAACAAUAUGCUUUCCCACGAGGAUUGGGAAGCCAGUAUGGGGUUGGAAGAUCUAAUGAGCAUGGACACAAAUAUGAGCUCAGAGAAUGACUUUAUGAAUGAUCUACGACCAUCAGACUUUCAGUUGUCCGAUUCGGGGACCACAGAUUUCUUCUCCAACAUUGGCUCAACAACUCAUGAUGAUCUGCUCAAUGAAUGGAGUGACAGCUCGGAUAGCGGCAUUUGUGGUCUGAGCAGCCCGUCUUCCCACUCAGUCAUCAAGCAUGAGCCGUUGUCCCCGUCUCUCUCCAGCCACUCUGACAGCUGUGACAGCGCCAGCCACACGCCCACUGACUUCACUACAUACACUUACACAAUCUCCGACCUCUCUGGGGAGCUUGACCCCAGUACGACCUUGACUGUGAAUCCGGUCACUGUGACCCCUGCUGACCCCUUGACCCUUGCGAACUCUGUCAGCCACACCAUUGACUUCUCAGAUACUGAUACCGACCCAGCACUCUCGAGCCAGUCAUCAGCAUUACAUACCCACUGGAGACUGAAAGACUUUUUCAUUCGGAACCUUACACUGUCAAAAGGGGCCAUAAAUCCAUCCAUACUGCCUACAGCAAUUGUCAAAUCAGAAAUCUCACCAGUGCCUAUAGCUACACAGUCACCAAAUGUCAUUAACAUUAGCCUACCACUAUCACCGACCUCAGUUUCUCAGAUCGACACAAUCCUUAACGGGAAGGUCAAGAUACAGCCCAAGAUUGAGCCCAGGUCCAAUCCUUCGAGUCCAAAACGGGCUCGAACCUCUCCAUCAGUAGAGCUCAGCUCUCCAAAGUCGCUGGUGCUAACACAAGAGGAAUUCGAUCGUCUCACACACCAGGGGGUGCUGCGUUUCCAGCCUCCCAAACAGGAGAGUAUUCUCCCAGGGCCCACUACUCUUCCUGCCACACAUGUUGUUACUGCCCCUCGCCUUCCUGUCCCGCAGGUGGUGCCAAUCUGCACAAGUACGAUAUCACUGCUAGAGGAUAAAGACUCAAAAGCUAUGAAGAGACAACAACGAAUGAUUAAAAACAGGGAAUCAGCCAGCUUGUCAAGGAAACGAAAGAAGGAGUACAUGUCCACCUUGGAAGAAAGACUCCAGGAGACUUGUGAUGAGAACGAGAAACUGAAGAUGGAAAAUCUCACACUGAGAAGUAGACUGUCACAGCUGCAUUCAGAGAAUGAGUAUCUCAAGAAGUCACUGUCUGUUAGCCCCAACUUGAAGAAGACUAUUGUAUUGGUGUGCUGUCUGUUCUUCACGCUCAAUCUGGGAUCUUGGAGCUCUAUAAUGUUAACAAGCAGGCCAGAUGUUGGGACAGACUCUCUAACAGUAUCUCAAGUGCACAGAGGUCGCCACCUAAUGGCCGCCACACCGGAAAGCUCGGGCUCUGAUCUCGGAUAUCCGGACACGGUUACUGACACAGCAAACCGGAUUCACGAUUUCUUCAUGAAGUAUGGGAGUACUGGGGUGCACGCUGGUGACAAGAUGUUCAAUGCUUCUGACGUGCCCCCAAUGUGUCCUACAUAUUACAAUAAGACGGAGUCAAUGAGGUUGGCAGAGCAGUUGGCGGGUUGGAUGUAUCGACAUGAGGAGAAGAAGAAGAAGAAGACAGGGAAGAAGGAGGCAGAGAAAGAAGUGAAGCAGCUGAGACCUAUCUCCUCUCUGAGACGAGCCAUGCGGGGGGAGAUGGGGCCAGGGCUGGACUCCAAGUACAGUGCUGGUGAUGCCAGGUACCAGAUUCAGCUCUACGAGGGCUCUGACACGGGCAAGGACUUUCUGAAGGCUCUACAUCGGAGAAAUGACACCUUCUACGUACUCAGCUUUGACGAGGAUUACUACCUGGUACCUGCUGUCUACCACAACAAGACAUCCAGACCACGCAUGUCACUGGUCAUGCCGGCUGUCGCACUCAAUGAGUCCAUGAUGCCGCGAGAUGAUGAGGUGGGAAUGAUGCAGAUCGACUGUGAAGUGAUGAACACCAACCUGAUCCACGUGAGCAAGUCUUCAAUCCCCCGAUACGCACGCGGCAAGCACAACCACACCCAAACCAACUUCAACAACCAACCAAAAGCCUGAGAGCUGGGACAGAACUUGGGUCUAACUGAUUGUCAUGGAAAAGUAUGCUGUUUUAACAGCCUGAAAAGGCUUUUAAAAUUGACAGAUUUUUUGGUGGUGGACAUCAUAAUGUGGAGACUUAAAAGACACUUAAAAUGUAUGAUUUUAAACAGAUAAAAUGAGUGUUGAAAUGAUAAUGCUUUUAAUGGUUUAACAUACUAACAGAUUUGUAGAUUGUUUUAUGGAAUGUCAAUUGUGUGUUGAACUGAUAUGUGCAGCUGAUUUAUGUAGCAACCAUGCUUUGAUGAGUCUCUGUUGUUUGAAAACAACAACAAUGGAAUAUGGAUAGCGGUCUGAAAUAGGUUUUAUGAUUGUAGACAUAGUUGAUUUAGUCAGAUUGCUGACAUAGUAGACAUGUUUAAAAAAGUAUCGCUAAUUUAUUGACUGUGAUUUAGAGGCAUAGAAACUAUUUUUAAAUUUCUGAGAAUGGCACAAACCUUUUGAUGCUUUUAGGAAGUGAUUGUUUGUAAUUGAAAUAGGUAUGUUGUUUUAAAGAAUAGUUAAUAGAACUCAGUUUUUAGAUUGAAAGUUAUGGUUAUUGUGUUACAUGAGCAAAAUGAUGUGAUUUUUGUUGUGUUAUAGUAGUAGAAAAGAUAUUAGAAACAUAGUGCUCAAUGAAGAUUUCUUCUGAGUUAAGAUAUUAGAAACAUAGUGCUCAAUGAAGAUUUCUUCUGAGUAAUUUUAAAAUGAAUGGAGAUGUGAAUUAUCAUUCUUAAAUAGACUUUCUCUUCAAACUUUUAACACUGUAUGACAAUUUACCAUUACCAGCUACAAGUCAAUACAAUUAUGUAAACUUGCAGCUUUAUAACACAAAAAUACUUACAGAAAUCACUGUUCUAUCACUGACCAAAUUAAUGUAUUGAAUGGAGUGAGAUACAAAAGUUUAUUUGAAGGCAGCUGUUUUACAGAUAUUGUUCAUGACUAAUCGUCUGUCAUUAUAAUUGUUCAUAAGUGGUUGUGUCUCAUGUCUUUUCUUUUAUCACAAUACUUACAGCAUUAUAUACAUUUGUAUUUUUCGGUACAUAUAUUCAUGGCUGCUUGUCAAAAUUGAUCAUUUGGACUUCACAUAGAACAUACAGAUUUAGAAAUUAACUUCAUCAAGUUUGUUGAUUUUAAUGUUUAUUGUGUCUAUGAAUGUAAGAUAUGUGGACAAAAGCUGAUACUUCAAAUAAUGAUUUCUUCAAAGAUUUAAAUAUUUGAAUUCCAGAAUACUUGGACCAUUGAUGUAUUCAUAUGUUUGUGUAUUAUGUAAUAAAUGUGGGACACUUAUGGUACAUGUUUUAGGGUUUAUUUUGUUUAGUUGUAGAUGAUUUAGCUUAGAUUUUUUAUUUUUAUAUAAGUAUAAUAUUUACUGUGAGAGUGUAAUGAAACUUUUGUCAAAUGUACAAUUUUGCAAGAAAAAAUAUUUGUCAGACGAAUGUUUUGAUAAAUGGAACGUGUUUCCAGCUGAAACGUGUAUUUACAACAAAUUGUAUUUCAAUAUGUUGCUACAUCUAAAGAAAAACACAUCAACAAAACUUAUAUGCCAUCUUUAGCACAAGUAUAAUUUUAGACUGUUUCUGCUAUGAAAAUGAUUGGUGUUGUGUUAAUUUUUAACCAGGUUUUCCGAAGGAAAAAACUGGUUAUUAGAUUGGCGAAUGCGGGCGGGCUGGCUGGCUGGCGGGCUGGCGGAACAAGCUUGUCCGGGCCAUAACUAUGUCGUUCAUUGUCAGAUUUUAAAAUCAUUUGGCACAUUUGUUCACCAUCAUUGGACGGUGUGUCGCGCGAAAUAAUUACGUCGAUAUCUCCAAGGUCAAGGUCACACUUUGAGUUCAAAGGUCAAAAAUGGCCAUAAAUGAGCUUGUCCUGGCCAUAACUAUGUCAUUCAUUGUGAGAUUUUAAAAUCAUUUGGCACAUUUGUUCACCAUCAUGGUACAGUGUGUCGCACGAAAGAAUCACGUCAAUAUCUCCAAUGUCAAGGUCGCCACGACUAAAAAUAGAUUUUUUUUUUUUUUAAACAAACUUACAAAGGGGGUUAAUUUUGUUUGUUCAUUUAAAAAGUUCAGUUUGAGUUUUCUCCCUUUAUCAAAUUUUUUUUUCACAAUGAAAACCUGGUUUUGUGACAAUUUUGUCCCUUGUUAUUAUAUAUUAUAUAAACAUGGUUUUGGGUGUUUGCAUCUAAUCAUUCCAUUUAACCUGUAUGUUUUUUGUGUGAAUAUUGCAUUUCGAUUUCUUUAUUUAUAUUUAUGUGUGGAAUACAAUAUGCAGUUAUGUAAUGGCAUAAGUCUAAUAUUCCUGUGGCCUUUACUCUUACUAUUUAACCAUUUUAUGCUUGACAUUUCUGAGGGUUUUAUGAAAUCGCCUCAUCGGUGCAUAAAGGUACCAUGUGCCUUCUAAUUUCAAUGGCUUGUGGUAUCUUUUUUCACCAAGGGGGCGAUAUAUGCUUUGUGCUGUAUUGUUGCUACUGUAGUGAUUUGUAACUGACGAUGUUUGAAAUGUUGUAAACAUGAGGCUUGUCAGUUCUUCUCAUCGAGAUCUACACAAUUUUGAAAUCCAUUGCUGGGUAUUUUUAAGGUGCCUGUUUUUGCCAUAUUACUGUAUUACGUUGACAGGUACUUAAAUAAAGUAUACUUGCUUUUAAUUUCCAUUUUAAAUGGACUUGUUCACAUGUUUUAGGUUUAAAAAAUAAUCUUAUUUUAUACAGCAUAAAAAAUCUAUUUUUAAAUAGUGUUGAAGUUAAGAUAGACAGUUGAAACAUAAAUUGCUCGUUGGUAUUCAAAAUCCAGUCCUUUAAGAGCUAAUCUCUUACACUCAACAUUGUGCCAUUCAAGCUUGUCAACUUUGAUUCUUACUCUAAUGCUAGGUUAUUGAUACUAACAUAAACCUAAUAACUAAUGAAUAGUGCUACAAUUACUGUAAAAAACAUUUAAAUCCAUUUCAGUUGAUGAUUACCCAUGAAGGAAGUAAUUAUCUAUUAUGUUUGUCUUAUAAAUGAGUGUUCUUUUAUAUGUAUAAUGUAUAAAACUUGGAUUUGCAAGUUGUCAGUGAACAGGGCCAAUGAAAAUAACGAUUUUAUGGUGCACAUGCCCCAUUGUCUACAAGUCAUUGUACGAUUAUGUUUGAUAUGUAAACUAUGUAAUAUCAUGUUCAGUGAAUGUUUAAAUAUGAAUUGUCAUUCCUUUUUUCCAAUGAUUUGUAAUUGACAUACUUCCAAAAUCUAAAUUAAUUAAGACGUCUUAAGUAGCAUGAACAAAUGAUUUGUUAAAACAUAAGUUAUUGAUGACAAAUUAUUGCAGGAAUACUAUUUAGGGUUUCAGAAAGCAUUUUCUGUUUGCUUUAAUGAAUUAUAAUUUUGAACUGUUUAAUCCAACCAGAAAAGAGCUCCUAUACGUUAUUUUAGCCCAUGUAAAGCAAAGUAAUAAAGAACCACUUUUUUUCACUCCCUGAAAUGUGACGUCAAGAGUUGUCUCCCUUGUUGGUUCAUGCUAUCUUUAGUAAUUUAGGAACCCUUACUAGAUAAGUAUGGUUAGGAUGCAAUAAUAGUAAUGGCUGAUGAGUGAAGAUUUUUAUUCUAGUGCAAGUCAUUUGUUUUUGUAAGUCGAUGAAUCAUGUAUCUUCCAAAUAUUUUUUCUGAUGAAUUCGUUCUCAGUUUGCAGAUUUAUCUCUUCUUGGCUUUAAUUUUGUUGCAUAAUAUUUAUCAGCUGCUAUUAUUACUUGACUUGUGAUUAAAGUCUGGACCAUGAUUUGUGGAUACAAUGAUGUGCAAUGGGUUUUUAUAUUUAACUGCUUAUUGUCAAAUUAACCUAUACAUAUUAAAUGUUUUUGUUGUUGCGAUCUACGAGAUUUGUACGGAGUUAAAUGUUAAUGCUUUAUUAAUAGCUCGCCUGAGUACAACAUGCUCAUGGUGAUCUUUUGUGAUUGCCUUGUGUAUGGUAUGCAUCGUCAACAAAUGCUUUGUGGUGAAGACUUGAAGAGGCUGCAUAUAUUGUCCAUUAUUUCACAUCUUUAUGAAACUUGGUUAGAACAUUUGUCCAAAAGAUAUUUCGGCCAAUAUUGAAACUGUGUCACAUGAGGUUAAAAUAUAGCUAGGGCCUCUGGCUCAAAUUAAAGAAAAAGCUUGUGAACAAUUAUGAAGCCACAUUUAUUGCUCAAUCUCCACAAAACUUUGUCAAUACAUUGUUCAUACUGACAAAAUUCUAAACUUGGUUUCUUCAUGGCAAAAUAAUAUGUAACUAGGUCAAAUUAUUAAAAAAGCUUUUUUGAAACACUCUAGAGGUCAGGUAACAUUUAUUGCCCUGUUGUCAUGAAACUUUGUGAGAGCAUUUGUCCCAAUUAUAUCUCUGACUAAGUCCGAAAUUGAGUAAUUUUGUGGUUAAAAACUAGAUCACUAGGUAAAUAAAACAAAAGGCUCUUGAGCAUUCUAGAAUUCACAUUUGUUCGGGCAAUCUUCACGAAACUUGCUGUGAUAUUUGUGCUCAUUGAUUUCUGAAACAAGUUAGAUAUGGUUCCUGUCCAUUGAAAAACAUGACUGCCACAUGGUAGGGCAUUUGUCCUUAUUUGGCUAUAGUGAAACUGCACUCUUUAGAUGUCACUUUUUGUUUACCCUCUUACCAUAAAACUUGCUUGGUAUUUACCAAUACAUGUAGUUUGAAAAUGAUUAUGGAUUGUUCAUGAACAUGACUGACAAGUGUUGGCUCAGUUUUUCUUUUAAGUCUAAUGUGAAAAAAUGUGAACACUUUCUACUCAGAACAGUUAAGUUCCUUGUGGUCUCACUACUUCUGUGGUAAGACUGUUGUGACACCUUAUAAAUCAGCUAUAUCAAGUGUAGUUGUAGAGUGUUUGUAUAUGGUCGUUGUGUGCAUUUUUUAACUCUGUAUAUCGUGUCUGAUAUGCUUUAUGGAUGUGGGUUGAGUUGUUGUGCAUAUAUAUUUCUAGUCACAAGAUAUCGAAAAACUUUGGCAGUUUUAACAUAUAGUUAAUUAUGUAGAGUCAACAUCUAAUAUAAUAUAUAUCAUUUUGUUGAAUUAAUUUGAAUACAUUUGACUUAUUUUCAUGUUAAUUAUAUUCGAUCUUGCACAACAUGAAUGAUAUAUGUAUAUAAUAUGUAUAUCAAUAAAAGUAAAACGUU